Molecule: non-coding RNA, 1732 nt
Organism: Peromyscus maniculatus bairdii (prairie deer mouse)
Lineage: Eukaryota; Metazoa; Chordata; Mammalia; Rodentia; Cricetidae
Source: RefSeq, a predicted model, not a curated record
CCAGGCUGGCCUCGAACUCACAGAGAUUCACCUGCCUCUGCCUCCCGAGUGCUAGAAUUAAAGGUGUGCGCCCACCACCGCCCGGCUCAGUUUUUGUUUUUUGUUUUAAUAAAUAAAACUGUCUGCAGUAAUACUUCAUUUAUCUACAGGUUAUAAUGAAAACUGUAGCCAUGUAGCUCACAUGAGCAUUCCCCAAAAAAACAAAAGCAGGCACAAAUUACAGAAACAGAAGACAUAAGACUCACGCACAAAGGUCCACGAACACUGAAACUGCCUUAGUUCCCAUAUCAAGCCAGCCUACUCAAUCAAGAGUGUGAUUUUACCAAGUCUGGUACUCUGCUUUCCUCACAAAUAAACAGUAUUAGACCAAGUAAAUCAAAAAGGGUCAGUAUUCCACUGCUAAAUGCAAGCACAUAGCUAUUAUAAAAUCCAAUUUAAAGGCAUGAUUAGACUGUUCUCUUUAGCACAAUCCUGUGAAUAUUUUCUUAAAAGUAUCUCUGUAACAAGGCAAAGAGUAAUGGCUGACAUGCAAAGAGACAAUCUCAUGACACCUAAAAUAUAAAACUGUUUUAAAUUUUUACAUUCUAAAAUCAGUGUGUGGGCUGGAGUGUGGCAGAAUGUAGAAUGCUUGCCUAGCAUGCACAAGGCCCUGGGUUCUACCUCUAGCACUGCAGAAAACAACAAUCAAAGCAAGGGAACAUCUUUUAGAAUAACUGCCAAGUAAACAGACUAGAAUAAGAACAGGUUUGUGUUGCUAAGGGCUCAGCAGCUCACAGCCAUCCCAGGGUGUUCUGAAGCAGGUACAAAAGAGGUGUUUGGGGAUGGAGAGAUGGCUCAGAGGUUAAGAGCACUGGCUGUUCUUCCAGAGGUCCUGAGUUCAAUUCCCAGCACCCACAUGGUGGCUCACAACCAUCUAUAAUGAGAUCUGGUGCCCUCUUCUGGCCUGCAGACAUACAUGCUAUAUACAUAAUAAAUAAAUAAAUCUAAAAAAAUAAAUAAAAAAAAGAGGUGUUUGGUGUUUUCAGUUGGCCACCACAUUGACAAGGAGGAUGUAUUAAAAAACAAGACAUUAGGCCGGGUGGUGGUGGUGGUGGCGGCAGCGGCGCCGCACGCCUUUAAUCCCAGCACUCGGGAGACAGAGCCAGGUGGAUCUCUAUGAGUUCGUGGCCAGCCUGGGCUACCAAGUGAGUUCCAGGAAAAGGUGCAAAGCUACAGAGAAACCCUGUCUCAAAAAACCAAAAAACAAAACAAAGCAAAAAAACCAAGAGAUUAAGCAGCUAAGCUAGGAAUGAGACACAAGUCUGCAUGUCUUCAAAAUUUAUGAUUGCUCUUCUAACAGAAGCUCCAGAUAGUAGAAAUGCAAUUCUAGAAAAGACAUUACAGAACAUAAUCAUGCCACUCUGAUCUCGAUUAGGCUACUCCAUCCCUAUGCUGAGAUUCUACUGAAUUUGAAAGACAAACUUCAAGUCUGGCGUAGUGGUUCCUGCUUGUAAUACCAGCACUCUGGAAGCAUUGAGCGUUCAAGGUCAGCAGCUGCUGCCAUGGCAUGCAUCGGUUAGGACCAGAGAAGGACAAGGCCGCUGAAGGACAAGGUCUGCCACCCCAGAAGGACAGCUGAGACCUUGCAAAGCCCACAGGGACGGACAGUCUUGGAUGCUUAAGGAAAGCAGCCAAGAGGGCAGGAAGUGCUGCUUCUAAACACCGUGUUUCCCUUCAUGACAGCCCCUGCUGG